Molecule: long non-coding RNA, 2521 nt
Filed under: Fukomys damarensis (Damara mole-rat)
Lineage: Eukaryota; Metazoa; Chordata; Mammalia; Rodentia; Bathyergidae
Description: lncRNA (ENSFDAG00000032762.1)
Source: RNAcentral
GGCCACCUGCAGGUCAGUGGGCAGCUCCCAGGCAGGGGCCACUGAGGUCCCCCUGUGCAGAACCCCCAGAAGACUGACUCAGAGGCAGUGGGGCUCAGGUGGGCUGACUAGGGGGGUCCCCCAAAAUGACACAUCUAAGUCCUGUCUUGUACCUGGGAACUGACCCUUGUUUGCAAAACGGAUCUUUCAGAUGUGAUUAAGGAAGAAUCCAGAUGAGAUUGCCCAGAAUUUAAAGUGAGACUUAAAAUCCAAGGCCUGAUGUCUUUACCUAACAAAGGAAACUGCAGGAAUGCAGGAGGAUGGAGAGAGAAGACUUUCUCGCUGUGCUGUCCUGGAGUGUUGGACGACGCAGGUGCUCUGAGCGGAGUCUGGGCCUGGGAGUCCCCAUCCCUCAGGUACAGGUUCGCCCCAGAUCUCCCUCAGAGACAGGACCAGGCCUCAGUUUAGCUCCUUGAGUCCCUCGACUGACUCCUGCAGUAGGGCCAGUCUGGGGCAGCUCGGGUCAGCCUGGAGGGGCGCAGGGGCGGAGCGAAGGUGAGUGCUGCGGUCUGACAGGAGGCGAGGCCGGGGUGCGGGCAGUGUGGACAGAGUGGGCACCCACAUUUCCUGAGGGCCACUGUGACUCAGGCACAGUGCUGCCCUUCCAUCGCUCCUGGAGUGGCAAGGUGGAGACGGCUGUGUCCAUCUGAGCGGAGAGUGAAAGGUUUGGGAAAGUUAAGGACGUUUCCCAAGGGCACAGCGUGUUUGGGGCAAAGUUGCCUGACUCACGUGGAGUUGAGGUUCAGAGGACCUUGAGAGCAGGAAGAGGGGUUGGAAUGUGAGGCCACAGGUAAUAGGGAGCCACUGGAGGUGUUUGAGCGCUAGCUGACACAAUGAAAGGGAUGCCAGCCGAGACUUGGCAGCCGAGGAGAGGCUAACAGUAAAAUUGUACCAUAGAACAAGCAUUGUGAUCAAAAGGCUCCAGUGCUUCCUGGCUACCAUUCCCACAAAAGUGACUCCAUUAUAGUUCUCCGGCUCAGGGUCAAUACCUCAGUCUCCUAACCCCUUCCAGCUUUCCUUGGAAGGAGAUGUUUGAACAGGACUUGAUUGCAGGGUACUGUAGCCAGAACAGGGCAGGGAAAGACGUUCUGGGCAGAGGGAACAGCAGGACAGGGGGCUUAGAGGCAAGGCCGGCCCUGACUGCUCAAAGCUUGGCUGUGUGCUCACCCAGGCUCUCCUGGGCCUGUGGCAGUGCAUUCCUCUAACCCACAGCCACAAUUAGUUUUGCACCCAAACUGAAAUGAAAGAUCGUUGCAACUCCAGAUGCUAGAAAUGCCAGGUUCAUUACUUCCUGGGAUUUUGUCCAUGCUCUUGUUCUAGAUUCAGUGAAAGCAAUUUGAGGUAAUUAAUUAAAUUUGUUAUCUGAGUAAUAAAGAUAGAAAUUCAGCGAAGUGCUGGGAAGGGGAAGCAAUGUUGCUGGCGAAGGAUGCCGACGACUCAUUUCAUCUCUGCCUGCUCCCCCAGGGCUCCUGCUUUGUUCCUGGACUGCUCUCGGUCCGAGCCGAGCUCAGGAGUCAGGGCUGACUGGUCAGGAGUCCGUGUUUGAGACAGAGCGAGGGAGCAGGAGGUCCACACUGGGGACGUGGGGCUGGCCGAGAGAGGAGCGCUCAGAGAUCAAUCCGUGCCAGUAGGGGCCCAGCAGGGGCCCGAGGCUCUGCCAGGCGGGAGGAGUGGGGCAUGCGCAGAAACUGCGGGGGGGAGCGGCUGGAAGUUAAAGGCCCGACUGCAGGGUGUGGUGGGCGGAAGGCGGACAGCAGGAGAGGGUUCUGGAGCCAAAGCCAGGGGGCCUUGUCCAGACACAGGUAGGGCACCCCGGCACCCCCAGUGGUCAGACACCAACACGGCAGUGAGCGUGAGCCAAGGUUAAGACUACUGGGGUCUCUGUGUAACCCAGGUCAGUAAAUGUGCUGAAACAUCAACCCCCGAAUCUCCAUGGGGAGGAUCCCCUAAACAGAGGCAAAAGACAAAGGAAAAGCUGGGGAGCAAUUCCUUAAUAUAUAAAGAGCCUCUUUACAUCAAUAAGAAAGACAAAACAGUGAGAAAAGUGGGAAAAGGUUAGGAAUAGACAAGCUGUUGGAAAUAAACUAUAAACGGCUCUUAAACACAUGCAAAGCUGCGUAUUCUUCUCCAUAAUGAGGUAAAUGCACAUGAAGAGUAGGCAAGAGAUGCCAUCUUUAUUCAUCAGACUGAUCGAGCUUCAAACAGAGGGUGAUAUGCUGAGCUGACAUUGGCGUGGAGAAAUGGGUGCUCGAAUUGUUAUGCUGUUAUUACCUCGCUGGAGAGCAAUUUCACAUUUUCUAUCAAGAUUAUAAAGACAUGAAUUUGCUUCAGAUUCAGCUCCUUGGAAUUUACCCUACAGGUGCGAAGACUAUCUGUGUUAUCUUGGGGGGAAACAACAGAAGGGCUUGUGAGUAGGGAGCUGGAAAAGAACAGAUGUAACUGGGCAGUGGAAUACCACACAGCCAGUAAAAAGACAGAAGGA